This 305-nucleotide ribosomal RNA is filed under the name uncultured bacterium. RNAcentral describes it as "partial 16S ribosomal RNA". It matches the Rfam family "Bacterial small subunit ribosomal RNA", at positions 508 to 809 of the family's 1533-position model. The record is from RNAcentral.
ACAGCAGUCGCCGCGGGAAUACGUAGGGUGCAAGCGUUAAUCGGAAUUACUGGGCGUAAAGCGUGCGCAGGCGGUUAUAUAAGACAGAUGUGAAAUCCCCGGGCUCAACCUGGGAACUGCAUUUGUGACUGUAUAGCUAGAGUACGGCAGAGGGGGAUGGAAUUCCGCGUGUAGCAGUGAAAUGCGUAGAUAUGCGGAGGAACACCGAUGGCGAAGGCAAUCCCCUGGGCCUGUACUGACGCUCAUGCACGAAAGCGUGGGGAGCAAACAGGAUUAGAUACCCCCGUAGUCCCUGUCCUUAUACA